This 580-nucleotide unclassified non-coding RNA is filed under the name Hevea brasiliensis (rubber tree). The record is from RNAcentral. Lineage: Eukaryota; Viridiplantae; Streptophyta; Magnoliopsida; Malpighiales; Euphorbiaceae.
AAAAGAAAAAAAAAAUAGAGAGGAGAACAGAAAAAAGACGGGAAGGGCGAUGUAAACAAGAAAGAAAUAAAGGGAAAGUGAUAUAUACGCAUAAGGAUUUUAUUCAUCACAUUCAAGUAAUGCAAAUAAAACAGAGGGGAGAAACUCCUCUCUUAAAGAUCAGAUUACAAACAUAUUACCAUAAUCCAACAAAAUUUGUUUGUUGAUCCUACAUGAAAUUCUGUAUAAAAUAAUUAGAUCCUGAACAAAAUAAAAUAAACACAUUUUCAAAGUGGCUAAACAACUUUUUUGAACUUCCAUAUUUGGUCUCAAAAUCUAAUAACUAGUUGUGAAUGAUAAACAUAAAAGGUAUGAAUCAUAAAUUUCACUUUCACUGAAAGAAAAGGGUUACAUUAUUAGGCUCUAGUAUAAGAAAAAUUAACAUCUACAAAACAAACUUACUUUUGUGCAUUGCAUAUUGAUGCAAUGAAGUUAAACUAACACCAUAUUAGAUGGAGAAGACAUAAAUCGCUAAGGAGAUAGGGAACCUUUAAAUCCAAUAAUAACACGCAAGAAACACGCAAAAAUACUAGAUAUGGAC